Molecule: long non-coding RNA, 1204 nt
Organism: Helianthus annuus (common sunflower)
Lineage: Eukaryota; Viridiplantae; Streptophyta; Magnoliopsida; Asterales; Asteraceae
Exons: 2
Source: RefSeq, a predicted model, not a curated record
GAAGUCCCCGUAUUCAAAUUAAUUACAUAGUUGCCACAGUUCAGGUUUUACCAACUUACACCUAUCGGUCAUUACCACCGCUGUAUAAUACACACAUGUCACCCACCCGCUUCUACCACCUAUAAGUAACCACCAGACUUGCCCCAAAUCCACAUCAGGCGACAAACAUUUCCACGGUAUUUCUACUCAGACAAACAUGGAAAUCAACAACAGAGAGAGGAAGAAGACAACAACAGAGAGAGAUAGAGAGAAAGAGAGACGACGGUAGUUGCUGUUUCCGACGCCACCUCCUACCGGCAACGGAAUCAACUGAUGGCAGCGAGUCUAGGUUUUCCGUUGGCCCUUUCUGAUUAUGGUUGAAGGAGUGAACCGUCGUUGGGUAUUCUUCUACUCUGUUCGUAGAAAGCAGCCAGCAGAAAUUGAUACAGCAUCAGCUCAUCCAUGCAAAAGGCUACGCCAACCGAUAUGCUUUCCAGAUUUAAUAAAUUUAAAAAGUUAACUUUUUCGAAGGUAAAGUCCAGUGGACCAAAUUUGGGUAAUCUAUCUUAAAAACAUUCUGAGCUAAUUUGACUCCGGUGAAGAAUCCGGUUACCAAUAUGAUAUUGUUGUCACAGAAAGAACUUUGGUCAACAGGUGGCUGCCGGCUUAGAUGAGGGUGCCGAUUAACAGUUCAUGUCAAGUAUGAUAUACUUACCAAUUGAAUAUAUUAAUAUUCAUUAAUUGAUAUUGUGAAUCUGUUUAUGGAUGAGGAACCUUCAAUGAUGACGCUCAUGAUUGGAACUGCUCAGAUUCAGUAAGGUCUUGAUGAUGGCAGAAUAUGGCGGUGAAGGAUCAAUAGGGGGCCCAAAGAACUGUGCGCAACAAAGGACCAUUUGCGCAUGCGAGCAAGAUACAGGUCCUGUUUGGGUGCGAUGAUCAUACUUGGUUAUCAAGGCAGAACUUGAGUCAAAAGGCGAGUCGACUCAGUCAAACAAAAACCAACAACAAUGUUGAUGCCACUCAUACCAUGUACCAUUUACAUUUUAUAAUUUCUUUCGCAUACCUUGCAACUCUUUAACGCACAAGUUUUCUAACAUUUCGGUAUAUAAUUUGUUUUGACCAGUAUUUUGCUUUUGGUUUUUGAUUUGUGUUGUUUGCUCAAAUCACGUUAGAAAAACCGCCCCGCAACGCGGGGGAAUCACUUUUAGUUAGAAAAUGUUUCGGA